AGUCUGAUCCAUUUAUCUUGAAAUACAAAACAAUGUUAGAAAAAGCAGCAGGCAGAAAAAUAGUUUUCUCGAGGCGAAAUACGGUAUUCAACAUGGUGCGGACCGAUAAAGAUAGCAGAGAAGUGUUAGACAUGCCAGGGAUGUACGAAGUUGGAAUUGAUAGCAUGGACACCAACAGGGAAGAAGUGUGCAUGGGCUCAGCAGCGAGAUCGGUGGGAGGGGGAGUACAGGAGCAUCGGGCGGACGGACAGCAGCAGAGAGGUGCGACGGCCCUGGCGCGGGGACUUGAUGCGUGUGGGGCGGUGCCGAA
Molecule: long non-coding RNA, 310 nt
Filed under: Androctonus crassicauda
Lineage: Eukaryota; Metazoa; Arthropoda; Arachnida; Scorpiones; Buthidae
Source: RNAcentral